AUUGAACGCUGGCGGCAGGCUUAACACAUGCAAGUCGAGCGAGCGGCGGACGGGUGAGUAAUGUCUGGGAAACUGCCUGGUGGAGGGGGAUAACUACUGGAAACGGUAGCUAAUACCGCAUACCAUCAGAUGUGCCCAGAUGGGAUUAGCUAGUAGGUGGGGUAAUGGCUCACCUAGGCGACGAUCCCUAGCUGGUCUGAGAGGAUGACCAGCCACCCUGGAACUGAGACACGGUCCAGACUCCGACGGGAGGAAGCAGUGGCGAAUAUUGCACAAUGGGCGCAAUCCUGAUACAGCCAUGCGGCGUGUGUGAAGACGGCCUUCGGGUUGUAAAGCACUUUCAGCGAGGAGGCGUUACUCGCAGAAGUAGCACCGGCUAACUCCGUUCCAGCCGCCGCGGUAAUAC
This 406-nucleotide ribosomal RNA is filed under the name uncultured bacterium. RNAcentral describes it as "partial 16S ribosomal RNA". It matches the Rfam family "Bacterial small subunit ribosomal RNA", at positions 30 to 526 of the family's 1533-position model. The record is from RNAcentral.